Molecule: ribosomal RNA, 460 nt
Filed under: uncultured bacterium
Lineage: Bacteria
Description: partial 16S ribosomal RNA
Rfam family: Bacterial small subunit ribosomal RNA
Source: RNAcentral
CCUACGGGCGGCAGCAGUGAGGAAUAUUGGUCAAUGGCCGUAAGGCUGAACCAGCCAAGUCGCGUGAAGGAAGAAGGAUCUAUGGUUUGUAAACUUCUUUUAUAGGGGAAUAAAGGUAUCCACGUGUGGAUAUUUGCAUGUACCCUAUGAAUAAGCAUCGGCUAACUCCGUGCCAGCAGCCGCGGUAAUACGGAGGAUGCGAGCGUUAUCCGGAUUUAUUGGGUUUAAAGGGUGCGUAGGUUGUUUUUUAAGUCAGCGGUGAAAGUUUGUGGCUCAACCAUAAAAUUGCCGUUGAAACUGGAAGACUUGAGUGUGUUUGAGGUAGGCGGAAUGCGUGGUGUAGCGGUGAAAUGCAUAGAUAUCACGCAGAACUCCGAUUGCGAAGGCAGCUUACUAAACUGUGACUGACAUUGAUGCUCGAAAGUGUGGGUAUCAAACAGGAUUAGAUACCCGUGUAGUC